CGAUCGAGUGCACGAACUGGGAACAGAUUCAGCAGUGGAGAAGACCAAUGCGAUUUUUACCGCGGACGUAUCUCCCAAUUCUGGCUAUGAAAAGACCAAUAAUCUUUGCAUCAGCAAGGAAAGACUAACAGGCUUACUGAAAUGGCACUCCAAUGGGACAGGACAGGAGGGAGAAAGAGAUCCCUUCAGCUGGACAACAUCAAAGGAGAGGUGACAUUCAUCCAACAACAAGGUUCACAAAAUGCCCUAGUGCUCACUGGACAUGUCCCUGGAUUUAAACGUGAUGAUCUACAGCCCCUGCCUUCAGUUCACACUGCCACCAAGGUCAACCAAAGCUACAAAGAUGUUCUUCUUGGGACAGAGAAGAACUAUUGGACCAUCAAGCACCAACAAGAGUGGAGACUUGAAGAAAGCGACGCAUAUCUGAAUCUUACACUGACUCUGAGAGUGCCCAUAGACAGGUUGUGGGCGUGGAGAUGAACUUUUAAAUCUGUAAAUAUGUGGCAAGUACACAAGAGAAUACGUGAGUAAUGUGUGUGUGUGUGUGUGUGUGUGUGUGUG
Molecule: long non-coding RNA, 561 nt
Organism: Engraulis encrasicolus (European anchovy)
Lineage: Eukaryota; Metazoa; Chordata; Actinopteri; Clupeiformes; Engraulidae
Exons: 3
Source: RefSeq, a predicted model, not a curated record